AUGAACGCUGGCGGCGUGCCUAAUACAUGCAAGUCGAGCGAACGGAUGAGAAGCUUGCUUCUCUGAUGUUAGCGGCGGACGGGUGAGUAACACGUGGAUAACCUACCUAUAAGACUGGGAUAACUUCGGGAAACCGGAGCUAAUACCGGAUAAUAUUUUGAACCGCAUGGUUCAAAAGUGAAAGACGGUCUUGCUGUCAUUUAUAGAUGGAUCCGCGCUGCAUUAGCUAGUUGGUAAGGUAACGGCUUACCAAGGCAACGAUGCAUAGCCGACCUGAGAGGGUGAUCGGCCACACUGGAACUGAGACACGGUCCAGACUCCUACGGGAGGCAGCAGUAGGGAAUCUUCCGCAAUGGGCGAAAGCCUGACGGAGCAACGCCGCGUGAGUGAUGAAGGUCUUCGGAUCGUAAAACUCUGUUAUUAGGGAAGAACAUAUGUGUAAGUAACUGUGCACAUCUUGACGGUACCUAAUCAGAAAGCCACGGCUAACUACGUG
Molecule: ribosomal RNA, 496 nt
Filed under: uncultured bacterium
Lineage: Bacteria
Description: partial 16S ribosomal RNA
Rfam family: Bacterial small subunit ribosomal RNA
Source: RNAcentral